GAUCCGAAAGAUGGUUAUUUUUGCUGGCAUAGUUUGAAGCAAGAGGAAAAUCUGGUGGAGGAUUGCAGUGGUUCUAACGUGAAAAUCGUUCGUCAAACGUAAGCAAAGGGGUUAAAAACUAAUCGAACCAUAUAGUUGCUUGG
Molecule: non-coding RNA, 143 nt
Filed under: Schistocephalus solidus
Lineage: Eukaryota; Metazoa; Platyhelminthes; Cestoda; Diphyllobothriidea; Diphyllobothriidae
Description: Eukaryotic large subunit ribosomal RNA
Rfam family: Eukaryotic large subunit ribosomal RNA
Source: Rfam by way of RNAcentral